This 495-nucleotide unclassified non-coding RNA is filed under the name Gibellulopsis serrae. RNAcentral's name for it is "sequence contains 18S rRNA gene, ITS1, 5.8S rRNA gene, ITS2". The stretch from base 171 to 324 matches the Rfam family "5.8S ribosomal RNA". The record is from RNAcentral. Lineage: Eukaryota; Fungi; Ascomycota; Sordariomycetes; Glomerellales; Plectosphaerellaceae.
CGUUGGUGAACCAGCGGAGGGAUCAUUACCGAGUACUAUAACUCAUAACCCUUUGUGAACCUUCAUACCUGUUGCUUCGGCGGCGCGCCUCCCGGGGCGUGCCCGCCGGCAUUAUCAGAAUCUCUGUUCGAACCCGACGAUACUUCUGAGUGUUCUAAGCGAACUGUUAAAACUUUCAACAACGGAUCUCUUGGCUCCAGCAUCGAUGAAGAACGCAGCGAAACGCGAUAUGUAAUGUGAAUUGCAGAAUUCAGUGAAUCAUCGAAUCUUUGAACGCACAUGGCGCCUUCCAGUAUCCUGGGAGGCAUGCCUGUCCGAGCGUCGUUUCAACCCUCGAGCCCCCGUGGCCCGGCGUUGGGGACCUGCCCAGGCAGUCCCCGAAAACCAGUGGCGGACCCGACGGGCCCUUCCUUUGCGUAGUAACAUCUGCCUCGCAUCGGGAGCCCCCGGGCUAUCCGGCCUCUAAACCCCCCUCAAGCCCGCUCCGGCGGCACC